This 297-nucleotide long non-coding RNA is filed under the name Nicotiana benthamiana. RNAcentral describes it as "long non-coding RNA (NBEN_LNC001716)". The record is from RNAcentral. Lineage: Eukaryota; Viridiplantae; Streptophyta; Magnoliopsida; Solanales; Solanaceae.
UAUAGAUUUUCCAAUUGUUCUAAAAAUAAAGGAAUCAAUGUCAGAAGUGAGACUGAAAAAAGGAGGGUGCCAGAAAAUAGACUAUGGAGAUUAUUCUUCUAAGAAUACGAUGCUCACAAGAAAAAGAAUUCACAGUUCAGAUUUGAAGUCUUGCAAAGAUGGAGGGGGCAUCUGGCCAUAAGAAUUUUUUGAAAUAACUGAAGGAAAUUUGUUUUAAAAAAGCAUGCUACAUUAAACAAAAUUUUAGAAACUUUUUGGGUAGAAGAGUGCCUUACAGCGUUUUUUUAGUUAAAGAUA